ACAAUGGAGAGUUUGAUCCUGGCUCAGGAUGAACGCUAGCGGCAGGCUUAAUACAUGCAAGUCGUGGGGCAGCGCAGUGUAGCAAUACAUGGGCGGCGACCGGCAAACGGGUGCGGAACACGUACGCAACCUUCCUUUAAGUGGUGAAUAGCUUUCGGAAACGAAAAUUAAUACACCGUAAUAUUAUGAAGUGGCAUCAUUUUAUAAUUAUAGCUCCGGCGCUUAAAGAUGGGCGUGCGUCUGAUUAGGUAGUUGGCGGGGUAACGGCCCACCAAGCCUGCGAUCAGUAACUGGUGUGAGAGCACGACCAGUCACACGGGCACUGAGACACGGGCCC
This 337-nucleotide ribosomal RNA is filed under the name Bacteroidota bacterium. RNAcentral's name for it is "bacterial SSU rRNA". It matches the Rfam family "Bacterial small subunit ribosomal RNA", at positions 1 to 333 of the family's 1533-position model. The record is from RNAcentral. Lineage: Bacteria; Pseudomonadati; Bacteroidota.